CUAAAUGGCCGCGGUAACUCUGACCGUGAUAAUGUAGCGAAAUCAAUUGUCGUUUAAUUGACGACCAGUAUGAAUGGUUAAACGAAUUUUCCACUGUCUCUAUAAUAAACUUAAUGAAUUUAAAAUAAUAGUGAAGAUGCUAUUUAAUAAUUGUAAGACGAGAAGACCCUAUAGAGCUUAACUAUAAUCUUUAAUUCUAAAAUAAUCAAUGAUUUAUUAAAUUUAAAGAUUGGUAGUUUGGUUGGGGCGACCAUCUUCUAAAAGCAACGAAGACAAGCAAUGUUAUAUAAUAUCAAUAUUUAACUGUAUAAUUUAUAUUUUUAACAGGUAUUAAAAUAGGCUAAUUGACCCGUUUAUUUUUAGUAAGAAAAAUAACGAUUAAUAAAUAAAAGCUACCUUAGGGAUAACAGCGUAAUCUUAUUUAAGAGUUCUUAUCGACAAUAAGGUUUGCGACCUCGAUGUUGAAUUGCGAUAACCUGAGGGUGCAGCAGCUCUCAAAGGUUGUCUGUUC
Molecule: ribosomal RNA, 511 nt
Filed under: Liriope tetraphylla
Lineage: Eukaryota; Metazoa; Cnidaria; Hydrozoa; Limnomedusae; Geryoniidae
Description: partial 16S ribosomal RNA
Rfam family: Bacterial large subunit ribosomal RNA
Source: RNAcentral